ACGGGAGGCAGCAGUAGGGAAUCUUCCACAAUGGACGCAAGUCUGAUGGAGCAACGCCGCGUGAGUGAAGAAGGUUUUCGGAUCGUAAAGCUCUGUUGUUGGUGAAGAAGGAUAGAGGUAGUAACUGGCCUUUAUUUGAUGGUAAUCAACCAGAAAGUCACGGCUAACUACGUGCCAGCAGCCGCGGGAAUACGUAGGUGGCAAGCGUUGUCCGGAUUUAUUGGGCGUAAAGCGAGCGCAGGCGGAAUGAUAAUUCUGAUGUGAAAGCCCACGGCUCAACCGUGGAAAUGCAUCGGAAACUGUCAUUCUUGAGUGCAGAAGAGGAGAGUGGAACUCCAUGUGUAGCGGUGGAAUCCGUAGAUAUAUGGAAGAACACCAGUGGCGAAGGCGGCUCUCUGGUCUGCCACUGACGCUGAGGCUCGAAAGCAUGGGUAGCGAACAGGAUUAGAUACCCUGGUA
RNAcentral lists this ribosomal RNA (459 nucleotides) under uncultured Lactobacillus sp. RNAcentral describes it as "partial 16S ribosomal RNA". It matches the Rfam family "Bacterial small subunit ribosomal RNA", at positions 341 to 792 of the family's 1533-position model. The record is from RNAcentral. Lineage: Bacteria; Bacillati; Bacillota; Bacilli; Lactobacillales; Lactobacillaceae.